This 468-nucleotide ribosomal RNA is filed under the name uncultured bacterium. RNAcentral describes it as "partial 16S ribosomal RNA". It matches the Rfam family "Bacterial small subunit ribosomal RNA", at positions 28 to 507 of the family's 1533-position model. The record is from RNAcentral.
GACGAACGCUGGCGGCGUGCUUAACACAUGCAAGUCGAACGGAAAGGCCCUGCUUUUGUGGGGUGCUCGAGUGGCGAACGGGUGAGUAACACGUGAGUAACCUGCCCUUGACUUUGGGAUAACUUCAGGAAACUGGGGCUAAUACCGGAUAGGAGCUCCUGCUGCAUGGUGGGGGUUGGAAAGUUUCGGCGGUUGGGGAUGGACUCGCGGCUUAUCAGCUUGUUGGUGGGGUAGUGGCUUACCAAGGCUUUGACGGGUAGCCGGCCUGAGAGGGUGACCGGCCACAUUGGGACUGAGAUACGGCCCAGACUCCUACGGGAGGCAGCAGUGGGGAAUAUUGCACAAUGGGCGGAAGCAUGAUGCAGCAACGCCGCGUGCGGGAUAACGGCCUUCGGGUUGUAAACCGCUUUCGCCUGUGACGAAGCGUGAGUGACGGUAAUGGGUAAAGAAGCACCGGCUAACUACGUG